Erinaceus europaeus (western European hedgehog) is the source of this 122-nucleotide ribosomal RNA. The record is from Ensembl. Lineage: Eukaryota; Metazoa; Chordata; Mammalia; Eulipotyphla; Erinaceidae.
AUGUACGGCCACACCAUCCUGAACACGCCCGAUCUCGUCUGAUCUCGGAAGCUAAGCAGGGUCUGGCCUGGUUAGUACUUGGAUGGGAGAAAUAAUGCUCCUGAAACCUUUUAAUGUGUAAA